GCCACAAACUUUUAAGGUCUUGCUCUUCAUUGGACACCCUUCUACUUCCAGGAACCAUAGGGAUUUAAUGUCAGUACUUUAAGCCAAUAAGCUCCUUCCUACCUCCUUGCCUUAUCUCCAGCGGCUCGGUAUCCAGAAAACCUUCUCCUCACCAGCCUUCCAAGUCCACUGCUCUAGGAAAUUAACUUUCCUUCCUCUCCAAUUCCAUACCAUAUCUGCCUGCACCACUGUACAGUUUACAAUUCCCCCUGUUUCUGUGCUUGCUGUUCUAAUGCCUCCUUCUCCUAGCGCUAAGACAGCGAGCAGGAGCAAAUCUUUUUCAACCUCCUUCCACCUUUCAUCCCAGACUGUGCCUAUGCAGGCCUGGAAAAGCGUUAGGAAAGUAGGCACCAUUCAAAAUAUCCCUUGUGGCGUCCCUUGUGGUUCAGCUGGUGAAGAAUCCAACUGCAAUGCCGGAGACGUGGGUUUAAUCCCUGGGUUGGGAAGAUUCCCCUGGAGAAGGAAAAGGUUACCCACUUCAGUAUUCUGGUCGCGAAGAGUCACACAGGACUGAAGCGACAUAAACUUCAAAAUAUCCUGGAGUCAGGGAAAGAUUUACCAUUUUGAAGGUGAAUAGAUGACUCAAAGGGCUUCCCUGAUAGCUCAGUUGGUAAAGAAUCUGCCUGCAAUGCAGAAGACCCCUGGUUCCAUUCCUCUGUGGGGAAGGUGCCCUGGCAAAGGAAUACGCUACCCACUCCGGAGUUCUUGGGCUUCCCUUAUGGCUCAGCUGGUAAAGAAUCCGCCUGCAUUGCGGGAGACCUGGGUUGGAUCCCUGGCUUGGGAAGAAACCCUGGAGAAUGGAAAGGCUACCUACUACAGUAUUCUGGCCUGGCGAAUUCCAUGGACUGUAGAGUCCAUGGGGUCGCAAAGAGUGGGACAGAACUGAGCGACUUUCACUUUCACGUAGAUGAAUCAAAAUUAAAUGGCUGAUAAUUUUUGUUGGUUGUGAAACAGAUUUUUCUCUUCUUCAGUCUCUGAGUCCUGUCCUCAAUUCUUUGCGGCCCUGUGGACUACAGCAUAUCCGGCUUCCCUGUCCUUCACUGCCUCAGGGAGUUUGCUCAAAUUCAUGUCCUGUUGAGUUUGUGAAGCUGCCUAAUGACGUCAUGCUCUGCUGCCCUCUUCUCUUGCCUUCAGUCUUUCACCGCAUCAGAGUCUUUUCCACUGAGUCUGCUUUUCCAUCAAGUAGUCAAAGUGUGAAACUAAUAUGUUGUCCCAAUCAAAAUUCGUCACUGGCUAAAUAUUAGGCCUUACACAUAUGGUUUCAUAUGCAGUGUAUACAAUAAGAAUUUACCAUUGUUUUUAACCUAGAAGAAUUCUUUUUAAAAAAAAUUACAUUUUUACAAAUGUAAAAGUUAAAUUAUGUUUGUACAGUCCAUGCCAGGUUUCUUGUACAAGAUGCCAGGUUCCAGAUUUAUCUGCCUGUUUCCUUAUGUUUUACUUGUUAUAAUAACUUUAUUAAAAUUCUCCAUAAAACAUUAAA
Capra hircus (goat) is the source of this 1519-nucleotide long non-coding RNA. RefSeq lists it as uncharacterized. Lineage: Eukaryota; Metazoa; Chordata; Mammalia; Artiodactyla; Bovidae. The record is from RefSeq and is a predicted model, not a curated record. The transcript is spliced from 2 exons.